This is a non-coding RNA of Nicotiana tabacum (common tobacco), 2459 nucleotides long. The record is from RefSeq and is a predicted model, not a curated record. Lineage: Eukaryota; Viridiplantae; Streptophyta; Magnoliopsida; Solanales; Solanaceae.
UUGUACUACUACUGCCCACAUGCCACAGUACCCCAUUAUCUCCUUCCCUUUCUUUCUUCCCCCCUUACAUUAUAUUUUCUCUAUCUGUCAAAAGUUUCGUUUCUUUAAUGGGGUUUUGUGUAUGUUCUGUCCACUGCAUGUACCUAGAAAAAAACACAUCAUACUGAGAGAAAAAAAAAAGUAAAAGAUCUUUUUCCUUUCUACUACUACUAGUACUAGAGUUUAGGGUGUGAUGUAUUCCAACACAACUCAGAUAUACUCAUAAAACCCUAAUUGUAUCUCCUGCUAACAUAACGGGUAGCGGGUAGCAGGUAGCAGAUUCAGAAUUUAGACGCUGUGAGUUUUAAGUCAGUAGAUGUAUGUUCUAGGUUUUUUCCAUAAAAGGGGUUUGUGUUUUGGUUUUAGAUCUGACUUCAGCAACACAAUUCAGAUGUAUGGUAAUGUUUGUGGUUGGGAGAGAAGCAAAUAAGAGAAGGGGGGACAAGGAGAAUCAAGACUGACAGAAGAGAGUGAGCACACGCAGGCAAUUGUAUAAAGAUGUAUACACACUGUCAUUUGCGUGUGCUCACUUCUCUUGCUGUCACCUCUCUCUAUAUACUUUCCCCCAUUUUUUUUGUUUUGCUUUGCUUCCACCACUCAAACCACUUACACUUGUUCAAGAUAGCAGCAUAUAUGAUCUGUCUUAAACUAAGGUCUGUAUACACUAUUCUUUUUAUGCCGAAUUUUAUUGUUAUUGUCAGUAUUUUUCGUUCUGAUCUUCUCGUGUUAGCUAUCUAACAUCUGACUCAACAAAAAAAAACAGUAGCUAUAGAUGGACACGACAUUCAACACUAGCACUGCCAUAUAUGCUAUGUUGUUAACUUGUUAACCAAUAAAAAAACUGCACCACAAUAAAAAUUGACAGUCAAGAUUGUUGACGUGUUUUUCUCUUGUUCUCUCUUUCAUUCUUUCCUUUAUAUUAUUUAUGUACCAGUUUGUAUUUAUCAAUUCAUGUUCUCUUGGUGGGUUUUGGAGAUUAGACAGAAAGAAGCUGAAGUUGAAAAAAUCAGAACAUUUAUCAGAUCAGGUAAGAGUCUGAGACUUUUGAGGUUUUGGGGUUUUAUUAUGUAGGUAAAUCUCUGUUCCUUUUUAAAAAAAAUCCCAUUUUAAUAUUGUACUUAGCGUGUCUUUUCAUGUAGUUAUUACUAUCUCUGAAGAAGAGGACGGAUUUAGAUUUGGGAGGUACGCCUGUUACUGUUUUGUCUUAACGGAUAACUAAUUAGUUAUCCUUCUAGAGUACAAUUCCGGUACAUCUAUAUUUGCAAAAAAUAUAUAAAAUCACUGUUCUGAAUCUAACAGAAAAUUCUCUUCUUUCUUCCUUUUCUCAUGUAAAAGUUCAUUGAUCUAUUUCUUGAUUUAACUCUUUGUUUUCAGGCUUUAUUUUUUUGUAUCUCGAGUGUAAUCUGAGACUUAAAUGAGCAUAAAACUCGGGUAAAAGGAGGACCCUUUUGGAAGUAUACUUUAUUUGUAAAGAUAUUCUUGUUUCUUGUAUGUGUAAUUUGAGUUUGGAAGUUGAUGAUUCUUUAAUUCAUUCUUUAAGUAUGGGGUAAUUUGGCUAAAUUUAUGUGGGUUCUUGUAAUAUUUUAUGUAGGUUUUUUGAAACUCUAAUUAUCUGUCUUUAGAUUUAGGAAAUGAUAUGCCUUAGUUUAUUGUUUGAGGAUUAGGAAGAAAAUUACAGUAAAGCGUAGAACUUUAAUUUGAAUUCGACUUCUAUAUUUGAUAUGAUUUUGCUUCCAGCAUUUUCGAUGAAGGUUAGAGAAAUAUAAAUAAUUAAUGAGCUUUAAUUUUCACAAGUUUGAAUUUGAUUUACUAUUUUAAAGAAUUCAUUUGUUCUUUGUUAAGUGCAGUCCUUCGUUGUAAUUACACUUAAAUAUUCUAACCCUUUUUGACAGCCACUAUUGCCUGCCGGGGGCGACAUCAAACAGCUUUACUAUUUCUUCUUUUGAUUUGCAGAAUAUAAAGAUGAACUAUAGGCAUGCCAAGCAUUUCAUAUUAAUGAUAAGAUGAAAGGCAGCCAGGGAAAAAUGCGCGAGGUUAUGCUGGCUUUAUGGAGGAAUUUUUUGAUACGGAUACUUCUGGCUACCUAUCUCCUUGGCUGAGCUUGGAUUGUUCUUGAAUCUCAGAUUUGUUGUAAGUUGAGGCGUUAGAGUCUUCGGUGUUUGCUCUUCAAUGGUCGUUACUUUUCAAUGCAGCAGAUUCAAGUUGCUACUUUUCUUUUCAGGGGUCGUUUUGUGCGAAGACAAGUUAUGCUGGGAUUAGUUAUACCAGGAUAAGUUAUCCUGCUAUUAUUUUUUAUUGACUAUUUGGUAUGUUGUAUUAGUCGUGCGAUUAUUAAUUUUACUGCUUUAUCCAGGGAUAACUUAUCUUGGGAUUUUUAUUCCACCAUCUGGCAAGUAUAGUUAUUCUGAUACUAUUUUUUA